CCCAAACUUAAGCUCAUAUCCUAUUCACCACUAUAAACAAGCCAACAGGCUAUUAAUUUAAUUAAUAUAUGCUCAGUACACUAGAUGGAAAGAGCACA
Non-coding RNA from Vicugna pacos (alpaca), 98 nucleotides. The record is from RefSeq and is a predicted model, not a curated record. Lineage: Eukaryota; Metazoa; Chordata; Mammalia; Artiodactyla; Camelidae.